Molecule: ribosomal RNA, 468 nt
Filed under: uncultured bacterium
Lineage: Bacteria
Description: partial 16S ribosomal RNA
Rfam family: Bacterial small subunit ribosomal RNA
Source: RNAcentral
GACGAACGCUGGCGGCGUGCUUAACACAUGCAAGUCGAACGGAAAGGCCCUGCUUUUGUGGGGUGCUCGAGUGGCGAACGGGUGAGUAACACGUGAGUAACCUGCCCUCGACUUUGGGAUAACUUCAGGAAACUGGGGCUAAUACCGGAUAGGAGCUCCUGCUGCAUGGUGGGGGUUGGAAAGUUUCGGCGGUUGGGGAUGGACUCGCGGCUUAUCAGCUUGUUGGUGGGGUAGUGGCUUACCAAGGCUUUGACGGGUAGCCGGCCUGAGAGGGUGACCGGCCACAUUGGGGCUGAGAUACCGCCCAGACGCCUACGGGAAGCAGGAGUGGGGAAUAGUGCACUAUGGGCGGGAGCCUGAUGCAGCAACGCCGCGUGCGGGAUGACGGCCUUCGGGUUGUAAACCGCUUUCGCCUGUGACGAAGCGUGAGUGACGGUAAUGGGUAAAGAAGCACCGGCUAACUACGUG